GCUGGGUGUGGUGGUGUGCACCUGUAAUCCCAGCUACUCAGGAGGCUGAGGCAGGAGGAUCACUUGAACCCAAGAGGCGGAGGCUGUAGUGAGCUGAGAUGGCGCCACUGCACUCCAGCCUGGGUGACAGAGUGAGACUCUGUCUCAA
Macaca fascicularis (crab-eating macaque) is the source of this 148-nucleotide unclassified non-coding RNA. It matches the Rfam family "Metazoan signal recognition particle RNA". Rfam says of the family: The signal recognition particle (SRP) is a universally conserved ribonucleoprotein. NCBI's taxonomy places the organism in Eukaryota, Metazoa, Chordata, Mammalia, Primates, Cercopithecidae. The record is from Ensembl.